AUUGAACGCUGGCGGAAUGCUUUACACAUGCAAGUCGAACGGCAGCACGGACUUCGGUCUGGUGGCGGGUGGCGAACGGGUGAGUAAUGUAUCGGAACGUGCCCAGUCGUGGGGGAUAACGUAGUGAAAAUUACGCUAAUACCGCAUACGAUCUAUGGAUGAAAGCGGGGGAUAGCAAGACCUAGCGCGAUUGGAGCGGCCGAUAUCAGAUUAGGUAGUUGGUGGGGUAAAGGCCCACCAAGCCAACGAUCUGUAGCUGGUCUGAGAGGACGACCAGCCAAACUGGAACUGAGACACGGUCCAGACUCCUACGGGAGGCAGCAGUGGGGAAUUUUGGACAAUGGGCGAAAGCCUGAUCCAGCCAUUCCGCGUGCAGGAUGAAGGCCCUCGGGUUGUAAACUGCUUUUGUACAGAACGAAAAGGUUUCUACUAGUACUAGGAGCUCAUGACGGUACUGUAAGAAUAAGCACCGGCUAACUACGUGCCAGCAGCCGCCGUAA
RNAcentral lists this ribosomal RNA (500 nucleotides) under uncultured bacterium. RNAcentral describes it as "partial 16S ribosomal RNA". It matches the Rfam family "Bacterial small subunit ribosomal RNA", at positions 30 to 523 of the family's 1533-position model. The record is from RNAcentral.